AGUCGGAUGUGAAAUCCCCGGGCUCAACCUGGGAACUGCAUUCGAAACUGGCAGGCUAGAGUCUUGUAGAGGGGGGUAGAAUUCCAGGUGUAGCGGUGAAAUGCGUAGAGAUCUGGAGGAAUACCGGUGGCGAAGGCGGCCCCUUGGACAAAGACUGACGCUCAGGUGCGAAAGCGUGGGGAGCAAACAGGAUUAGAUACCCUGGUAGUCCACGCCGUAAACGAUGUCGACUUGGAGGUUGUGCCCUUGAGGCGUGGCUUCCGGAACUAACGCGUUAAGUCGACCGCCUGGGGAGUACGGCCGCAAGGUUAAAACUCAAAUGAAUUGACGGGGGCCCGCACAAGCGGUGGAGCAUGUGGUUUAAUUCGAUGCAACGCGAAGAACCUUACCUACUCUUGACAUCCAGAGAACUUUCCAGAGAUGGAUUGGUGCCUUCGGGAACUCUGAGACAGGUGCUGCAUGGCUGUCGUCAGCUCGUGUUGUGAAAUGUUGGGUUAAGUCCCGCAACGAGCGCAACCCUUAUCCUUUGUUGCCAGCGGUUAGGCCGGGAACUCAAAGGAGACUGCCAGUGAUAAACUGGAGGAAGGUGGGGAUGACGUCAAGUCAUCAUGGCCCUUACGAGUAGGGCUACACACGUGCUACAAUGGCGCAUACAAAGAGAAGCGACCUCGCGAGAGCAAGCGGACCUCAUAAAGUGCGUCGUAGUCCGGAUUGGAGUCUGCAACUCGACUCCAUGAAGUCGGAAUCGCUAGUAAUCGUAGAUCAGAAUGCUACGGUGAAUACGUUCCCGGGCCUUGUACACACCGCCCGUCACACCAUGGGAGUGGGUUGCAAAAGAAGUAGGUAGCUUAACCUUCGGGAGGGCGCUUACCACUUUGUGAUUCAUGACUGGGGUGAAGUCGUAACAAGGUAACC
This 915-nucleotide ribosomal RNA is filed under the name uncultured bacterium. Its description in RNAcentral is "bacterial SSU rRNA". It matches the Rfam family "Bacterial small subunit ribosomal RNA", at positions 586 to 1501 of the family's 1533-position model. The record is from RNAcentral.